RNAcentral lists this ribosomal RNA (468 nucleotides) under uncultured bacterium. Its description in RNAcentral is "partial 16S ribosomal RNA". It matches the Rfam family "Bacterial small subunit ribosomal RNA", at positions 28 to 507 of the family's 1533-position model. The record is from RNAcentral.
GACGAACGCUGGCGGCGUGCUUAACACAUGCAAGUCGAACGGAAAGGCCCUGCUUUUGUGGGGUGCUCGAGUGGCGAACGGGUGAGUAACACGUGAGUAACCUGCCCUUGACUUUGGGAUAACUUCAGGAAACUGGGGCUAAUACCGGAUAGGAGCUCCUGCUGCAUGGUGGGGGUUGGAAAGUUUCGGCGGUUGGGGAUGGACUCGCGGCUUAUCAGCUUGUUGGUGGGGUAGUGGCUUACCAAGGCUUUGACGGGUAGCCGGCCUGAGAGGGUGACCGGCCACAUUGGGACUGAGGUACGGCCCAGACUCUUACGGGAGGCAGCAGUGGGGAAUAUUGCACAAUGGGCGGAAGCCUGAUGCAGCAACGCCGCGUGCGGGAUGACGGCCUUCGGGUUGUAAACCGCUUUCGCCUGUGACGAAGCGUGAGUGACGGUAAUGGGUAAAGAAGCACCGGCUAACUACGUG